RNAcentral lists this ribosomal RNA (649 nucleotides) under Salmonella enterica subsp. enterica serovar Anatum. RNAcentral's name for it is "partial 23S ribosomal RNA". It matches the Rfam family "Bacterial large subunit ribosomal RNA", at positions 535 to 1190 of the family's 2925-position model. The record is from RNAcentral. Lineage: Bacteria; Pseudomonadati; Pseudomonadota; Gammaproteobacteria; Enterobacterales; Enterobacteriaceae.
GGAGCGAAAGCGACGUUCAACCGCAAAAGAAGCAGAGGGGGCUUAGUGGUGGGGUGACUGCGUACCUUUUGUAUAAUGGGUCAGCGACUUAUAUUCUGUAGCAAGGUUAACCGAAUAGGGGAGCCGGAGGGAAACCGAGUCUUAAUUGGGCGUUAAGUUGCAGGGUAUAGACCCGAAACCCGGUGAUCUAGCCAUGGGCAGGUUGAAGGUUGGGUAACACUAACUGGAGGACCGAACCGACUAAUGUUGAAAAAUUAGCGGAUGACCUGUGGCUGGGGGUGAAAGGCCAAUCAAACCGGGAGAUAGCUGGUUCUCCCCGAAAGCUAUUUAGGUAGCGCCUCGUGAAUUCAUCUCCGGGGGUAGAGCACUGUUUCGGCUAGGGGGCCAUCCCGGCUUACCAACCCGAUGCAAACUGCGAAUACCGGAGAAUGUUAUCACGGGAGACACACGGCGGGUGCUAACGUCCGUCGUGAAGAGGGAAACAACCCAGACCGCCAGCUAAGGUCCCAAAGUCAUGGUUAAGUGGGAAACGAUGUGGGAAGGCCCAGACAGCCAGGAUGUUGGCUUAGAAGCAGCCAUCAUUUAAAGAAAGCGUAAUAGCUCACUGGUCGAGUCGGCCUGCGCGGAAGAUGUAACGGGGCUAAACCAU